RNAcentral lists this ribosomal RNA (253 nucleotides) under uncultured bacterium. RNAcentral's name for it is "partial 16S ribosomal RNA". It matches the Rfam family "Bacterial small subunit ribosomal RNA", at positions 524 to 776 of the family's 1533-position model. The record is from RNAcentral.
UACGGAAGGUGCAAGCGUUGUCCGGAUUGACUGGGUGUAAAGGGCGCGUAGGCGGAGAGGUGUGUCGGGAGUGAAAUCGUACGGCUUAAACGUACAAUGGCUUUCGAAACUACCUCCCUUGAGUACAGAAGGGGUUGAUGGAAUACCUGGUGUAGCGGUGGAAUGCGUAGAUAUCAGGUAGAACACCGGAGGCGAAGGCGGUCAACUGGUCUGUAACUGACGCUGAGGCGGGAAAGUGUGGGGAGCAAACAGG